Molecule: long non-coding RNA, 1046 nt
Filed under: Monodelphis domestica (gray short-tailed opossum)
Lineage: Eukaryota; Metazoa; Chordata; Mammalia; Didelphimorphia; Didelphidae
Description: lncRNA (ENSMODG00000048495.1)
Source: RNAcentral
GUUUGCAAUAUAAAUAUUCAAGACAUAAGCCAAAAACUGGCCUUUAUAUACCUCACUUCUACUGGAAGAACUAAGCAAAAAUAAACCACAAAAAAACCACAAAAACACACAAAAAAACAAACCAUAAAAGCUAUGAAGACCAAUCUGUGACAUAGUAUGAUUAAUUAAAAUUUAAUUUUUAUAAUUCUAUAUUAAUGAAUAGCUAUUUUUCCUAAACAGAUACUUUAAAAAUUACAUUAUUCAAUCAAUGAUUCAAAACUGAAUGGUUUCUUUUAGGGUUUCAUUGGUACAUAUUAAACCAAAGGCAUCAGGAAUACAUUAAAAAAAUGCAGAACAAGCCAGCCAACCAAAAAACAUGGACAAAGAUUUUAAAUGUACUUUAAUUAGGGCAUACCCCAAUAGAUCUAUAUAAUGCUGACAAAAAGUCAUCAGAUCAACUAUAGCAAGCUAGAACCAAGAUGCUUGAGUUAACACAAAUUAAAGUCUGGUAUAUACACCAAUUAACAAGGAAUCUCAGGCCUCAUUCUGUAGUGUACCUAUCCCUUUAAGAGAGGCAUCUGGAAGAUUGCUAUGAUUUAGAAUCAUCUCCAAGGUGACUGAGUGUUUUCCAGAGGGAAACAUACUCCAGGCCACAGAGCAUUAGGAAAAACUAAAAAAAGACCUUUUCUCCUUCUUUAUGUCACCUUGGGGUCACUAAUUAUAAGCCUGGAAUCAAAUAUAACAUGAACAGUAGACCUCACACCUACCUUGGUGAUGACUAUCUGAACUGUAUAUCUUAGGACCUUUCUUCCUUACUGGCGAAUUAUGAUAGGCCUUCUGGAUUGAUGACUGGGUGGAAGCAAACGAAUUUUCAAAAUCAUCUGAAUAAAAGAAGAAGGGAAUAUACAAAAGAGCCAUUGUACAGUGCUAAAGAAGCACAGAGAACCUGCAUAAUGCCUAUGGAGCACAAGGUCAAAGAGACCAGAUCCCAAUGAGAUUGAUGAAAGAAGGCUAAUUGGAGCACUCUGCAAAAUGAAUAUUUAUUUUGCAGAUACACAUGAGAUGAG